Molecule: small nucleolar RNA, 302 nt
Organism: Scleropages formosus (Asian bonytongue)
Lineage: Eukaryota; Metazoa; Chordata; Actinopteri; Osteoglossiformes; Osteoglossidae
Source: Ensembl
GUCCUGUGAUGAAACCAAGGCGAAUGCGAGCUAACUGGUUAUAAGUUUGGCUGCUCCCAUCUCCUGACUGGCAGGUAAUCUUGGCAGAGCAGUGGAGACUGGCUGCUCUGCUGUAAGGGCCUGCCUACAGUGAAUGACACCUGGCUCAUAUACCUCCUCUUUAAAGAGGUUGAGUUGGAGGUUGGAGAAGGGUGUUCAGUUUGUGUGUGUGUGUGCGUGCGCGUGCGCGUGCCAGGAAACGGGGCGCCUUACUUUAUCCAUGCCUGUUAGCUGUGAGCGGCUUCUUUGGUAAUCUGAGGGCA